UGCCAGCAGCCGCGGUAAUACGGAGGGUGCAAGCGUUAUCCGGAAUUACUGGGUUUAAAGAGUGCGUAGGCGGCUUGGCAAGUUGGGUGUGAAAUCCCUCGGCUCAACCGAGGAAUUGCGCUCAAAACUGCCAAGCUUGAGGGAGAUAGAGGUGAGCGGAACUAAUGGUGGAGCGGUGAAAUGCGUUGAUAUCAUUAGGAACACCGGUGGCGAAAGCGGCUCACUGGGUCUCUUCUGACGCUGAGGCACGAAAGCUAGGGGAGCGAACGGGAUUAGAUA
This 279-nucleotide ribosomal RNA is filed under the name uncultured bacterium. Its description in RNAcentral is "partial 16S ribosomal RNA". It matches the Rfam family "Bacterial small subunit ribosomal RNA", at positions 506 to 784 of the family's 1533-position model. The record is from RNAcentral.